Molecule: long non-coding RNA, 925 nt
Filed under: Medicago truncatula (barrel medic)
Lineage: Eukaryota; Viridiplantae; Streptophyta; Magnoliopsida; Fabales; Fabaceae
Description: lncRNA gene27843
Source: RNAcentral
GCUAGCACCAUUUCAGUACUGUGUAGUAUGUUCUCAUCAACUAAAGAACUACUUAACCUCUGACUCAGUAAUUAACAACAUUCAGGAAUAGUCUCUAACACCGGUUUCCAGUGAUCAUGCUUGUUUGCAAUUUCAUGGUCUCUGGCUUUUAUUAACCGAUAAAGAACUUGUUCUGCAGAACCUAAUUCAUUCGUCGUCUUCUUCUUCAUCUGCUUCUGUGGUUCUUGAUUAUUACUACUAUUUUGAAUAGCUCCCAAUAAUUCAGCCAGCUCUGACUUUGAAAUCUUUAAUGUUACCUUCCCACUUGCAUCUCCAGAAGCUCUAAGCCUUUCUAAUAGAUCAUUCUCUUUCUGAGGAUGAUCAAGAUGAGCUUCAUCAAACACCUUACUUGAUGAUGAACGACAUGCCUUUGGCUUAGACGACUUCAAAGAUCCCCAGUCUUCUCCACCAAACUCCAUUGAAGGUGCUGCCCUGCAACAGUUUCCCAUUUUCUUGAUUACACUGAAGAAUUAAUUAGUUUGAAAAUACUUAGUGUACUCUCUUAGUCUUAGAUGUUAUGUAGUAUUAUUAGAAUAUAUGAUCAAAGUUUGAAGUGGUGGAGAUUUAAUUCGAUAUAUGUAUUUAUAGAGAUGAAGGGAAAAUUUAAGAUAUGGUUAGCUUAGCCGUAAAGGGUGUGUGUGUGGGGUGACAUUAAUUUGUUGACCAUAUAGUACAUUAGCUUAGCCGUGUAAUAAAUGUGUGAAAUGAAGCAAGAGAGAGAGGGGUAACUACUGAUUAGUACCACCUUUAGGACUGUCUAAUACUACCAAGUGCUGCUAAGUCCUAGUCCCCACACUCAUGUGAAUAUGAACGCCACACAAUCAUAUUCUCUUUCCGUUUUAAAAUGAAUGUCAUUUUAAAUUUUCAAUACAACUUUAAUUUUUCU